Molecule: transfer RNA, 23 nt
Filed under: Crocodylus novaeguineae (New Guinea crocodile)
Lineage: Eukaryota; Metazoa; Chordata; Crocodylia; Crocodylidae
Also listed under: 1 other name
Description: partial tRNA-Trp
Source: RNAcentral
AAGAAAUUAGGUUUAAUCUUCAA